Molecule: non-coding RNA, 375 nt
Organism: Hipposideros armiger (great roundleaf bat)
Lineage: Eukaryota; Metazoa; Chordata; Mammalia; Chiroptera; Hipposideridae
Source: the annotation of a RefSeq genome assembly
AUGGCCUGUGCUCCACUCCUCCUCACUUUCCUUGCUUAUUGCACAGGGUCUUGGGCUGAGUUUGUGCUGACUCAGCCCUGCUCUGUGUCUGGGUCUCCAGAACAGAAGAUCACCAUCUCCUGCACCUACAACAGUGGCAACGUUGGGAACAGAUAUGUGUACUGGUACCAGCAGCACAUGGGCAGUGCGCCCACUACUGUGAUCUAUGCGGACAAAAAAAGACUCUCUCGGGUGCCCGAUUGGUUUUCUGGCUCCAUCGACAGCUCCUCCAAUGCUGCCUACCUGAAAAUUUCUGAGCUGCAACCUGAGGAUGAGGCGAACUACUAUUGUCAGUCCUAUGACAGCAACUACAAGCACAGUAAUUCAGGUCCAUAG